This 30-nucleotide non-coding RNA is filed under the name Homo sapiens (human). The record is from RNAcentral. Lineage: Eukaryota; Metazoa; Chordata; Mammalia; Primates; Hominidae.
UCAUGAUUGCAGCUUACCAGUGUUCAAAGU